GGCCCAAAUGUGAAGAAGAGUAGAUAAGAAGGAUCAUCUGACCCUACUAAACUACUCUACUUCGAAUGUGCCC
Non-coding RNA from Haemonchus placei, 73 nucleotides. The record is from Rfam. NCBI's taxonomy places the organism in Eukaryota, Metazoa, Nematoda, Chromadorea, Rhabditida, Trichostrongylidae.